UGGGGAAUCUUCCGCAAUGGACGAAAGUCUGACGGAGCAACGCCGCGUGAGUGAUGACGGCCUUCGGGUUGUAAAGCUCUGUUAAUCGGGACGAAUGGUUCUUGUGCGAAUAGUGCGAGGAUUUGACGGUACCGGAAUAGAAAGCCACGGCUAACUACGUGCCAGCAGCCGCGGUAAUACGUAGGUGGCAAGCGUUGUCCGGAAUUAUUGGGCGUAAAGCGCGCGCAGGCGGAUUGGUCAGUCUGUCUUAAAAGUUCGGGGCUUAACCCCGUGAUGGGAUGGAAACUGCCAAUCUAGAGUAUCGGAGAGGAAAGCGGAAUUCCUAGUGUAGCGGUGAAAUGCGUAGAUAUUAGGAGGAACACCAGUGGCGAAAGCGGCUUUCUGGACGAAAACUGACGCUGAGGCGCGAAAGCCAGGGGAGCGAACGGGAUUAGAUACCCCGGUAGUCCUGGCCGUAAACGAUGGGUACUAGGUGUAGGAGGUAUCGACCCCUUCUGUGCCGGAGUUAACGCAAUAAGUACCCCGCCUGGGGAGUACGGCCGCAAGGUUG
RNAcentral lists this ribosomal RNA (550 nucleotides) under uncultured bacterium. RNAcentral's name for it is "bacterial SSU rRNA". It matches the Rfam family "Bacterial small subunit ribosomal RNA", at positions 355 to 896 of the family's 1533-position model. The record is from RNAcentral.